Molecule: long non-coding RNA, 1942 nt
Organism: Mercenaria mercenaria
Lineage: Eukaryota; Metazoa; Mollusca; Bivalvia; Venerida; Veneridae
Exons: 3
Source: RefSeq, a predicted model, not a curated record
AUAAUACAUUACCUGCGAUUACGCAUAAGGACCUUUGAACAGAAAUAUCUAACCGAGAUGUCAAACACAUUUUUCAAUUAGCAUACUAGUUACACGACUUUAAUCAAACACAUUUUUACAAUUAGCACACUAGUUACAUGACUUUUAAUCAAUAAAUAGGGAUUAGAUUGCGUCAUCAAAGGUUUACUAAGACACCAUUUUUCUGUAUUACGGGCAGUUUUAUAGCAGUUAAUUUGCUUACUUGCCAAAUCCUGUUUUAGGGUCCGAGACGAACCGAUUUUAUGUACGUAUUUUUCAUUGGUCAGUUGAAUUUGUAAUAAGAUUUUUAAUUGUAUAAUUUCGAAGAAAUCAACCGUUUCCAAAUCCUUUAUAAGCACAUCAGCUACCCCGAGAAAGCCAAAACUCUGGCUUCGUAGAAAAAUAAAUGUUAUUGGGAGCUGACAAGAUUUUUAUUCUUUUUAUAGGUAAGUCAAAUUCUGUACUCUGUAAUUUUUUUUCACAUUUGUAAAAUCUGGAUUGGUAACUUUUAAAUUUUAACAGAGAUCUUAUCUUAAUGCUAGGCACAUGUGUAUUGGAAAUGUUUGUUUUAUAUCUAUCCAGCUAUUCAGACAACUGCUUAGUAUUUUUGUUCAUGUGUAAGAUUUGUACUUCUAUGGUUUAGUUUUAUACAUAUGCAUUUCGCUAUUCAGAAAACUUCAAAGUAUUUUUGUUUAUGAGUAAGAUUUAGUAGAUUCUUUUUACUGUUGAUUUAUUACAGAAAUUAUGUUUUAUAAUGAAAUCUGAACUAGUUAUUAUUCUUAUAAAGAAAAGAAACGUAUUGAGUACUUUAAUUAUCGAUCAGUUAAAGCGUACUUUCAUUGAGAACUUAUUUCAUUUGCGUUUUUCGUCCUUUGGAAUAAUGUUCUAGGCAUUGAGUACUCUUCACAGGAAAACAAAUUUAGAUGUAUUAAUGAAAUUAAAUAACUGAAUAAAACCGAAAAUAUAACUUUUUAGGCAUUUCAAUGUAUUUAAGAAACAAAUCUAGAGUAGGCAGUAUGUUGGUUGAGUGUCGGUUAAAUGAAAGAAACCAGUAUGGUAGGAUUUUUGUUUGUUUAUAUUACAACUAUUGGUUGAGAAACUUAAGAGUAUGAUUUUCUAGUUCAUUAAAGAGUUAGUCUCUAGGCUUGGUGAAUUACUUAUCACUUUCUAAAGUUUAUUGAGCAUUGAUUGAAUGUAUGUUUGAUGUUAUGUAUGUGAUGUAUAUGAAUGUUUGUACAAAAAAACCUCUGGCUUCGUAGAAAAAUAAAUGUUAUUGGGAGCUGACAAGAUUUUUAUUCUUUUUAUAGAGAUCUUAGUAUCCCCGCAGCUUUAGCCAUGAGGCGGAGAAAGAAAAGAAAGAAACUCUUGUAGCAAGGAGCCUAUAUCUAACGGCCAUGGGCACUAUACAGUACAGGCCGAAAGAAUAACCAUCCUUUCAGAUAUACCAACACAUCUUUUUAUGCAUAGCACAUAGACGUACACCAUCUUUUGGAAUAAGACAUUCAUCCUAGAAACCAGUUAAAAAGCUUGUUGAAUAGUCAAAACAUUAACACUAAGAGGUGUCCUCGCAUGAGAAAUCAACUUACAAGUACGGACAGAACAGAUUUAGUUCCAUAACGCCUGUUCGACAACGCUGGUGAAAUGAGACUGGAACGAGUUCAUUUAUCCUGAUAGGAAUUCAAUACAGAGUGUAACAAUAAAUGAGAGCAAAUUUCUAUGUCCAUACCAAAUGUCAAUACCAUUAUGGUCUAUGAACAAUGCUUUUCAUGUGUAAAUUCUAUGGUGAUGUACAUAAUGUACAUGCUUGAUGUCUAAACACUUCCAUAUGACUUUUAUUCCUAUGAUGAUAUGAUUUAUACGGAAUUGUUGUUAUCGUGUGCAGAUUUUGAAACAAAAUGUUUAAAAUAUGAUAUCCAGCUAUAUG